UCGGUUCGGAAGGUUGGCCCGCCCAGCAGCGGGUGGGGCCGGUGGAGAGACCCAGGGGAUCCCCUGGCCCAGGCAGGGCACCCGCGGACCUCACAGCUGAACGGGGAAAUCCGGGGACUGUCUGGGGUGGGGACCAUCCCAGGAGGUCACGAGCCCCGCCCCUUCCCAAACAGCAUCCUGGACCGGUCCAGAAGCAUCUGGUAAAGGGCCACACGCAGACCUGUGAAUGCAUUUACUUGAUCUACAUACAAUGGAGGCAGUUGGAAGUUGUGUUGUUGAACCUGUGUCCGCACAGCCCUGGUGGGACAGCUCCCGGCACCUGGUAGAGGAAGCCACCUCUGGGAGCCCCGGGUCCGGGCCGAUGAAGCUGCCAGGCGGUCAGGACCCCAAGGCUCUGGCUGCUUUCUGGUGCCUGGACGCCUUCCUCUGCCAAGCUCAACUCCAUUUGCCGUUGUUCCCCUGGGAGAAGAGUGAGCCUAGCAUUCACAGAGGAGCCUCAGCCGGCCGCUGGGUGGGUGUUGAGAAAAGAAACUUCUGGAGAGUACAUCUCUGGGAUCUUUAAAG
Long non-coding RNA from Canis lupus familiaris (dog), 564 nucleotides. RefSeq lists it as uncharacterized. Lineage: Eukaryota; Metazoa; Chordata; Mammalia; Carnivora; Canidae. The transcript is spliced from 3 exons. The record is from RefSeq and is a predicted model, not a curated record.